This 279-nucleotide ribosomal RNA is filed under the name uncultured bacterium. RNAcentral's name for it is "partial 16S ribosomal RNA". It matches the Rfam family "Bacterial small subunit ribosomal RNA", at positions 506 to 784 of the family's 1533-position model. The record is from RNAcentral.
UGCCAGCCGCCGCGGUAAUACGGAGGGAGCGAGCGUUAAUCGGAAUUACUGGGCGUAAAGCGCGCGUAGGCGGCUUUGUAAGUCGGAUGUGAAAGCCCUGGGCUCAACCUGGGAAUGGCAUUCGAUACUGCAGAGCUAGAGUAUGGUAGAGGGAAGUGGAAUUUCCGGUGUAGCGGUGAAAUGCGUAGAUAUCGGAAGGAACACCGAUGGCGAAGGCAUCUCUCUGGGCCGAUAUUGACGCUGAGGCGCGAAGGCGCGGGUAGCGAACGGGAUUAGAUA